GAUUCCAUAGCUCAGUUGGUAGUAGCGGAUGACUGUUAAUCAUCAGGUCCCAGGUUCGAGUCCUGGUGGAAUCG
RNAcentral lists this transfer RNA (74 nucleotides) under Salmonella enterica subsp. enterica serovar Saintpaul. RNAcentral describes it as "tRNA-Asn". It matches the Rfam family "tRNA". Rfam says of the family: Transfer RNA (tRNA) molecules are approximately 80 nucleotides in length. Their secondary structure includes four short double-helical elements and three loops (D, anti-codon, and T loops). Further hydrogen bonds mediate the characteristic L-shaped molecular structure. tRNAs have two regions of fundamental functional importance: the anti-codon, which is responsible for specific mRNA codon recognition, and the 3' end, to which the tRNAs corresponding amino acid is attached (by aminoacyl-tRNA synthetases). tRNAs cope with the degeneracy of the genetic code in two manners: having more than one tRNA (with a specific anti-codon) for a particular amino acid; and 'wobble' base-pairing, i.e. permitting non-standard base-pairing at the 3rd anti-codon position. The record is from RNAcentral. Lineage: Bacteria; Pseudomonadati; Pseudomonadota; Gammaproteobacteria; Enterobacterales; Enterobacteriaceae.